AUCCAAAUAGCUUAUA
Molecule: transfer RNA, 16 nt
Filed under: Drosophila melanogaster (fruit fly)
Lineage: Eukaryota; Metazoa; Arthropoda; Insecta; Diptera; Drosophilidae
Description: partial tRNA-Phe
Source: RNAcentral